GACGAACGCUGGCGGCGUGCUUAACACAUGCAAGUCGAACGAUGAAGAAAAGAAUUGAAGCUUCGGCAGAAAUUCAUUUCGGAUUAGUGGCAGACGGGUGAGUAACGCGUGAGCAACCUACCUCUUACAAAGGGAUAGCCUCGGGAAACCGGGAUUAAUACCAUAUAACAUUGCGACGAAGCAUUUCGAUGCAAUCAAAGCUACGGCGGUAAGAGAUGGGCUCGCGUCCCAUUAACCAGAUGGUGAGGUAACGGCUCACCAUAGUAACGAUGGGUAACCGGGCGGAGAGGGUGAACGGUCACACUGGAACUAAGCCACGGUCCAGACUCCUACGGGAAGCAGCAGUGGGGAAUAUUGCACAAUGGAGGGAACUCUGAUGCAGCGACGCCGCGUGAGUAAUGAAGGAAUUCGUUUCGUAAAACUCUGUUCUAUGGGAAGAAAAGGACGGUACCAAAGGAGAAAGCUCCGGCUAAAUACGUG
This 480-nucleotide ribosomal RNA is filed under the name uncultured bacterium. RNAcentral's name for it is "partial 16S ribosomal RNA". It matches the Rfam family "Bacterial small subunit ribosomal RNA", at positions 28 to 507 of the family's 1533-position model. The record is from RNAcentral.